AUCGAACGCUGGCGGCAGGCUUAACACAUGCAAGUCGAGCGGGGUGAUGGUGCUUGCACUAUCACUUAGCGGCGGACGGGUGAGUAAUGCUUAGGAAUCUGCCUAUUAGUGGGGGACAACAUCUCGAAAGGGAUGCUAAUACCGCAUACGUCCUACGGGAGAAAGCAGGGGAUCACUUGUGACCUUGCGCUAAUAGAUGAGCCUAAGUCGGAUUAGCUAGUUGGUGGGGUAAAGGCCUACCAAGGCGACGAUCUGUAGCGGGUCUGAGAGGAUGAUCCGCCACAGUGGGACUGAGACACGGCCCAGACUCCUACGGGAGGCAGCAGUGGGGAAUAUUGGACAAUGGGGGGAACCCUGAUCCAGCCAUGCCGCGUGUGUGAAGAAGGCCUUAUGGUUGUAAAGCACUUCAAGCGAGGAGGAGGCUCUUUUGGUUAAUACCCAAGAUGAGUGGACGUUACUCGCAGAAUAAGCACCGGCUAACUCUGUGCCAGCAGCCGCCGUAA
Molecule: ribosomal RNA, 503 nt
Filed under: uncultured bacterium
Lineage: Bacteria
Description: partial 16S ribosomal RNA
Rfam family: Bacterial small subunit ribosomal RNA
Source: RNAcentral